GGGAUUGCCCCAGUAACGGCGAGUGAAGCGGCAACAGCUCAAAUUUGAAAUCUGGCCUCCUUCGGGGUCCGAGUUGUAAUUUGUAGAGGAUGCUUCGGGUGACGGUCCGGCCUAAGUCCCUUGGAACAGGGUGUCAUAGAGGGUGAGAAUCCCGUCUGCGGUCGGCGCCUGACCCCGUCAGAAGCUCCUUCGACGAGUCGAGUUGUUUGGGAAUGCAGCUCUAAAUGGGUGGUAAAUUUCAUCUAAAGCUAAAUACCGGCCGGAGACCGAUAGCGCACAAGUAGAGUGAUCGAAAGAUGAAAAGCACUUUGGAAAGAGAGUCAAACAGUAUGUGAAAUUGUUGAAAGGGAAGCGCCUGCGACCAGACCUGUCUGCGGGCGAUCACCUGUCGUUCUCGGCGGGGUACUCGUCCGUCAGCAGGCCAGCGUCGGUUUCGGCGGCCGGACAAAGGCCCCGGGAAUGUACCUACCCUCCGGGGAAGGCUUAUAGCCCGGGGUGCAAUGCGGCCAGCCGGGACCGAGGACCGCGCUUCGGCUAGGAUGCUGGCGUAAUGGUCGUAGGCGGCCCGUCUUGAAACACGGACCAAGGAGUCUAACAUCUAUGCGAGUGUUUGGGUGUCAAACCCAUACGCGCAAUGAAAGUGAACGGAGGUGGGAACCCUUCAGGGCGCACCAUCGACCGAUCCAGAUGUCUUCGGAUGGAUUUGAGUAUGAGCAUAAAUGUUGGGACCCGAAAGACAGUGAACUACACAUGGAUAGGGUGAAGCCAGAGGAAACUCUGGUGGAGGCUCGCAGCGGUUCUGACGUGCAAAUCGAUCGUCAAAUCAGUGUGUAGGGGCGAAAGACUAAUCGAACUGUCUGGUAGCUGGUUUCGGCCGAAGUUUCCCUCAGGAUAGCAGUAACGUUUUCAGUUUUAUGAGGUAAAGCGAAUGAUUAGAGGCCUUGGGGGCGUAACGCCCUUAACCUAUUCUCAAACUUUAAAUAUGUAAGAAGUCCUUGUUGCUUGGUUGAACGUGGACAUUUGAAUGUACCGUUACUAGUGGGCCAUUUUUGGUAAGCAGAACUGGCGAUGCGGGAUGAACCGAACGCGAGGUUAAGGUGCCGGAAUGCACGCUCAUCAGACACCACGGAAAAGGGUAGAGCGGGGUUGCAUUGGAAUUGUGAAUGUGGUGUCAAAUGGGGACGAAGAGUCUCGUGUCAGUCCUGAACAGGGCCAGGUCUUUCAUCUGCGGAGCCGGCUGGCCAUCAACAUGGUCGGGCAAUCCGCUGCUGCUUCUCUUGAAGCUGCCCACAGAUUAAGUGGAGACCGGCUGCAGCAUCUGUUGCGGCUCAAGAUAUAAUCGGCCAGGGAAGUAUCGUUCUCUGAUCUCGCGCAAAAAGUGUUAGUUCAUCUAGACAGCCGGACGGUGGCCAUGGAAGUCGGAACCCGCUAAGGAGUGUGUAACAACCCACCGGCCGAAUGAACUAGCCUUGAAAAUGGAUGGCGCUCAAGCGUGCUACCCAUACCUCGCCGCCAGGGUAGAAACGAUGCCCUGGCGAGUAGGCCGACGUGGAGGUCCGUGACGAAGC
Molecule: ribosomal RNA, 1568 nt
Filed under: Solenopsora vulturiensis
Lineage: Eukaryota; Fungi; Ascomycota; Lecanoromycetes; Lecanorales; Catillariaceae
Description: partial large subunit ribosomal RNA
Rfam family: Eukaryotic large subunit ribosomal RNA
Source: RNAcentral